UACGGAGGGUGCAAACGUUGCUCGGAAUCAUUGGGCGUAAAGCGCACGUAGGUGGCCUGUUAAGUCGGGUGUGAAAUCCCUGGGCUCAACCCAGGAAGUGCACUCGAAACUGGCAGGCUAGAGUGCGGUAGAGGGUAGUGGAAUUCCCGGUGUAGCGGUGAAAUGCGUAGAGAUCGGGAGGAACACCAGUGGCGAAGGCGGCUACCUGGACCAGCACUGACACUGAGGCACGAAAGCGUGGGGAGCAAACAGG
This 253-nucleotide ribosomal RNA is filed under the name uncultured bacterium. RNAcentral's name for it is "partial 16S ribosomal RNA". It matches the Rfam family "Bacterial small subunit ribosomal RNA", at positions 524 to 776 of the family's 1533-position model. The record is from RNAcentral.